CGGUGUGCCUAAUACAUGCAAGUCGAACGCGUUGGCCCAAUUGAUUGAUGGUGCUUGCACCUGAUUGAUUUUGGUCGCCAACGAGUGGCGGACGGGUGAGUAACACGUAGGUAACCUGCCCAGAAGCGGGGGACAACAUUUGGAAACAGAUGCUAAUACCGCAUAACAACGUUGUUCGCAUGAACAACGCUUAAAAGAUGGCUUCUCGCUAUCACUUCUGGAUGGACCUGCGGUGCAUUAGCUUGUUGGUGGGGUAACGGCCUACCAAGGCGAUGAUGCAUAGCCGAGUUGAGAGACUGAUCGGCCACAAUGGGACUGAGACACGGCCCAUACUCCUACGGGAGGCAGCAGUAGGGAAUCUUCCACAAUGGGCGCAAGCCUGAUGGAGCAACACCGCGUGAGUGAAGAAGGGUUUCGGCUCGUAAAGCUCUGUUGUUAAAGAAGAACACGUAUGAGAGUAACUGUUCAUACGUUGACGGUAUUUAACCAGAAAGUCACGGCUAACUACGUGCCAGCAGCCGCGGUAAUACGUAGGUGGCAAGCGUUAUCCGGAUUUAUUGGGCGUAAAGAGAGUGCAGGCGGUUUUCUAAGUCUGAUGUGAAAGCCUUCGGCUUAACCGGAGAAGUGCAUCGGAAACU
RNAcentral lists this ribosomal RNA (638 nucleotides) under Limosilactobacillus fermentum. Its description in RNAcentral is "bacterial SSU rRNA". It matches the Rfam family "Bacterial small subunit ribosomal RNA", at positions 40 to 634 of the family's 1533-position model. The record is from RNAcentral. Lineage: Bacteria; Bacillati; Bacillota; Bacilli; Lactobacillales; Lactobacillaceae.